Molecule: long non-coding RNA, 339 nt
Organism: Juglans microcarpa x Juglans regia
Lineage: Eukaryota; Viridiplantae; Streptophyta; Magnoliopsida; Fagales; Juglandaceae
Exons: 3
Source: RefSeq, a predicted model, not a curated record
CGGGAAAUGGUGUAACGUUGCCAAUAAGGAAGGAACAGCACCUCUACAUAUACUAGCGGGCAAGCCUUCGGCUUUCAGAAGCGGGAGUCUUCUUGUUCAUGGAUUGUGCAAAACAAUCAUUUAUCACUGCAUAUUUGUUGAUGAGCACGACGUGGAACAAAAUGAUGAUCGCCCGACAAAUUGGAAUCCAAAAUUUCCUGAGAACUACAGAGCAUGCAUCGACUUCUUUCAAUUGUUUUGGAAUUUCGUUAGCUUCGUACUGCAAUUAGGACUCGCUAUCAGAAAUAAGGUCAGAGAGAGAGAUGAAGAGAGGCCCGAAAGACAGCCAGUACAUCCAGG